AGCGCCAUGUUCUACCAAUUGAGCUACAGAGGACCACCAAUACGGUGAUAGUUAUCCUGUAUAUUAAGAGUACAGCGACUGCAAUGAGAAGGCAUAAUGUUACUUUGCUUAUUUUUUUUCGGCCGGAUGAGGUGCAGAUCUGUGUUCAGAUAAAGCGUCCGGGGUGAAAAAGUUUAAUUAAAAAAGUUGUGUGAGGACAAAACUAAGAUCUUACAAUAGUUUAAAGGAAUCCCACAGUCGUGGUCUUACUCUGUGUGUGUGUGUGCCAUCCUGGUGCUGCAGCAGACGGUGGAGAGGGUUCACGCAUGGAAGCGGUACGGAGACAUCGCCCGAGGAAUCUUCAUCAUCAGGGGAGAUAACUUGUCCUCCUGUGGGAGAUUACUGGCAAGGCCACCUCCAAGGCGAUGAUUGACAUCUUCAUCCCCCACGGUUCUCCUGAGGUCAUCUUUAGUGACUGAGGUCGUGAACUCUGGAACAAGGUUUGGAUGAACGGACCAACCAGACCCUCAAGACUGCCAUGGGCAAUUCCCUUGACGGGUACCAGGAACAGUGGGAGGACAACCUGAAGAUCACUGAAACUCCACCUGAUGUGGUGGAAGUUGUCGAACCAGAUCAGAACGCCUUCGAGGACCACUUUCAGGCACGGGCUGAGAAGGAUGUGGAGGUUUUUGAACAGGUGAGACUGAACAUCGACAAAGCACAGGAGAAAUAGAAGGAGAGCUACCGGAGGAGAAUCAAGAAGGGGACCAAGUGCUUCGACAUCCGGGCGAAUGACUUGGUUUGGAAGAAGGACGAAAGGAAGGCGAGACCUGGGAAACCUCGCUGCUCUUUCGCUCCUAGCUGGGGUCACCAUACGUUAAGGGUUUCCUCAGUGGAAGCCAACAAUCUUCUACAGUUAGAGCAGUUGGACGGUCGACCACUGAAAGCCCUGACGCCCUACACUUCGGUGAAGCCCAUGAGACGAAGACCAUCAACUGUCUGAGCCACCCAGGAGGUAUCCCAUCCAACAGAGCCAGUGAGUUUGGAUCAGUCUGAUUCUUUGUGCUCUGAGUCGGAGGGCGACCAGCUUGAGGACCUAGGGGUUCUGCCCAACACCCAGACGUGGAUCCACCUGAUGUCCUCCUUUACCAACCACCCUCCAACUUUUCAUUACAUCAUCUACAGCUACUGUUAUUGUCAUGUUGUCAUUAUC
Molecule: long non-coding RNA, 1192 nt
Organism: Coregonus clupeaformis (lake whitefish)
Lineage: Eukaryota; Metazoa; Chordata; Actinopteri; Salmoniformes; Salmonidae
Exons: 8
Source: RefSeq, a predicted model, not a curated record